GUAUUCGCAGUUCUAAGAACACUUUUCGCUAGAGAAAUUAACUAAUAUC
RNAcentral lists this transfer RNA (49 nucleotides) under Pagurus gracilipes. RNAcentral's name for it is "tRNA-Ala". The record is from RNAcentral. Lineage: Eukaryota; Metazoa; Arthropoda; Malacostraca; Decapoda; Paguridae.